Molecule: long non-coding RNA, 607 nt
Filed under: Musa acuminata (dwarf banana)
Lineage: Eukaryota; Viridiplantae; Streptophyta; Magnoliopsida; Zingiberales; Musaceae
Description: long non-coding RNA (MACU_LNC003873)
Source: RNAcentral
ACUGAUUAAAAUGUACUAACAUGAAAGGGUAUAUAAGCAUGUCUUCCAUUGACAGGCCCCACGGUGAAGCCGGUGUAUCCUGCCAUGGCACCAUGUAUGGCGCUGUGUGCCAGCAAAGUGCAGUAGAUAUUGUCGGAUGCAUUUCUUGGAAUUGCACGGAUCAUGUACGUAGGAUAUGCGACAAAGCAUGAGAAAUUAUACAACCAGCAGAACCCGAACCCACCCAGGGAAGGGAAAGACUUCGACAAGUCUGCAACAGACCUAUGUAUUUAAGAUUUAUGUGCAUUUUCUUGUUUCUUGUAAAGUGGUCCUGCAGUAGUAGUAGUAGUAGUAGUAGUAGUAGUAGUAGUACUUGGAAAAGAUGGAGUGAGUAGAGCUGUCUGUAUCAAUUACAUGCCAUACAUCAACUGUUUAGUGCUGCUAUAAAUGAUAUAUCAAGUCAGAAUAAGAAAAAGACUCACCGUUAUCUUCUGUGACAGCCACAGGCCAACAUCGAGGAGUAGCUUAUUACCGGAAGCAUCUUGAUGGUCGACGGAUCGCAUGCUUUCGACAGUCGGAUCUUGGCCUGCGCCCUCAGCAACAACAAUGACCAUGUGACCGUUCUCUU